GAUGAACGCUGGCGGCGUGCUUAACACAUGCAAGUCGAACGGAAAGGCCAGUGCUUGCACUGGUACUCGAGUGGCGAACGGGUGAGUAACACGUGGGUGAUCUGCCCUGCACUUCGGGAUAAGCCUGGGAAACUGGGUCUAAUACCGGAUAGGACAAUGGUUUGGAUGCCGUUGUGGAAAGUUUUUGCGGUGUGGGAUGAGCUCGGGGCCUAUCAGCUUGUUGGUGGGGUAAUGGCCUACCAAGGCGUCGACGGGUAGCCGGCCUGAGAGGGUGUACAGCCGCAUUGGGACCGAAAGGCAGCCCAGACUCCUGCGGGAGGCAGCAGUGGCGAAUGUUGGACAAUGGGCGCAAGCGUGAGGCAGCAACGCCGUGUGGGGGUUGACGGCCUUCGGGUGGUAAGCUCCUAUCGCUAAGGACGAAGCGAAUUUGUGACGGUACCUGGAGAAGAAGCACCGGCUAACUACGUG
This 468-nucleotide ribosomal RNA is filed under the name uncultured bacterium. Its description in RNAcentral is "partial 16S ribosomal RNA". It matches the Rfam family "Bacterial small subunit ribosomal RNA", at positions 28 to 507 of the family's 1533-position model. The record is from RNAcentral.